Molecule: long non-coding RNA, 925 nt
Organism: Lagopus muta (rock ptarmigan)
Lineage: Eukaryota; Metazoa; Chordata; Aves; Galliformes; Phasianidae
Exons: 3
Source: RefSeq, a predicted model, not a curated record
GGAGGUGAGGGUGUUUCUUGCUGGAGAUCCCUGCCUACCUGAGCCCUUCCACAGUGAUCGACUGAGGGAGAGCAAAAGAGUGAACCCGUACCUCUCCCUCCGUGACUCCCACCACGGACUGGAUUCAUGGAAUAUUGUGAUGCUGCAGUAGUAACUAUCUCUGCAUUCCUAUAACACUUCGCAGCUUGGAUGGAGUCUCAUUGGAUUUUCUCCAGCUUUAAAGAAGCAGGAUGAGGCACGGGGAAUUUUUCUAGAGAAAAGAGCAAUUUGGGCUAUAUGUUGCAUUAAAAGAAGAGGCUUUUAAGGGCUCCCAUUCAGUGUGGCUAGAAGCUAACUUGGCCAACUGCCAGGAGUUGUGCUCACCAUGCAAGUAUCAAAAAGGAAAUCAGGAUUUAAAACAAAAAAAAAAUUGUAUUCUCACCUCUUGGCCCAACCUGGGCAUCAGAUCAAAAAGGAGGAGAAUCAAUAUCAGCUUUAUAUCUGCUAGAUACUCAAUGUCACAUGGAAUGAAAGGGUUCUUAAAUAAGAAAUAAAAACAGAACAGACUAAAUAGAAAGGCUAAAUAGUUAGCAGGUCUUUGUAAAUAUAAGAGACUGCAUCCAAGAGGAUCAAAUUAGUGUGCUAUGCACAGUUUAACAUCAUCGCCAACUGUUACGAUAAGUUCUUGUGAUAUACGCUGUUUUUUAAACCUAAUUUCUUGAACUCAUCCUAUUGUGUGAGAAUAUCAGCUUCUGUUUAAAAACAAGUGCGUUUUGUCAUUGUAGCUAAAGAGUAAGUGAAAAAUAUGACAUUGAGAAGGUCAACACAGAAUUAAUUAAAGUCAAAUUAAAGUCAGUAUUUUUUAAACCAAAUCUCUGUGGUUAUGAGGAAAGAAGCUGACUCACUACUUUUCUGUACCUGUUCUGCCAGAAUGCAUUGCACAUUU